UACAGAGGGUGCGAGCGUUAAUCGGAAUUACUGGGCGUAAGGCGUGCGUAGACGGUUAUUUAAGUCGGAUGUGAAAGCCCCGGGCUCAACCUGGGAAUUGCAUUCGAGACUGAAUAGCUAGGGUACGGUAGAGGGAAGUGGAAUUUCCGGUGUAGCGGUGAAAUGCGUAGAUAUCGGAAGGAACAUCAGUGGCGAAAGCGACUUCCUGGACCAGUACCGACGUUCAGGCACGAAAGCGUGGGGAGCAAACAGG
Molecule: ribosomal RNA, 253 nt
Filed under: uncultured bacterium
Lineage: Bacteria
Description: partial 16S ribosomal RNA
Rfam family: Bacterial small subunit ribosomal RNA
Source: RNAcentral